GCCAAUUUAGCUCAGUCGGUAGAGCAAUUCACUCGUAAUGAAUAGGUCAUCGGUUCGAUUCCGAUAAUUGGCUCCA
RNAcentral lists this transfer RNA (76 nucleotides) under Lentisphaerota bacterium. RNAcentral's name for it is "Lentisphaerae bacterium (feces metagenome) tRNA-Thr". It matches the Rfam family "tRNA". From Rfam's summary of the family: Transfer RNA (tRNA) molecules are approximately 80 nucleotides in length. Their secondary structure includes four short double-helical elements and three loops (D, anti-codon, and T loops). Further hydrogen bonds mediate the characteristic L-shaped molecular structure. tRNAs have two regions of fundamental functional importance: the anti-codon, which is responsible for specific mRNA codon recognition, and the 3' end, to which the tRNAs corresponding amino acid is attached (by aminoacyl-tRNA synthetases). tRNAs cope with the degeneracy of the genetic code in two manners: having more than one tRNA (with a specific anti-codon) for a particular amino acid; and 'wobble' base-pairing, i.e. permitting non-standard base-pairing at the 3rd anti-codon position. Lineage: Bacteria; Pseudomonadati; Lentisphaerota. The record is from RNAcentral. RNAcentral also lists the same sequence under 1 other name.